This 485-nucleotide ribosomal RNA is filed under the name Sordaria fimicola. RNAcentral's name for it is "SSU rRNA". It matches the Rfam family "Eukaryotic small subunit ribosomal RNA", at positions 405 to 895 of the family's 1831-position model. The record is from RNAcentral. Lineage: Eukaryota; Fungi; Ascomycota; Sordariomycetes; Sordariales; Sordariaceae.
GGCUACUACAUCCAAGGAAGGCAGCAGGCGCGCAAAUUACCCAAUCCCGACACGGGGAGGUAGUGACAAUAAAUACUGAUACAGGGCUCUUUUGGGUCUUGUAAUUGGAAUGAGUACAAUUUAAAUCCCUUAACGAGGAACAAUUGGAGGGCAAGUCUGGUGCCAGCAGCCGCGGUAAUUCCAGCUCCAAUAGCGUAUAUUAAAGUUGUUGAGGUUAAAAAGCUCGUAGUUGAACCUUGGGCCCAGCCGGCCGGUCCGCCUCACCGCGUGCACUGGCUCGGUUGGGCCUUUCCUUCUGGAGAACCGCAUGCCCUUCACUGGGUGUGUCGGGGAACCAGGACUUUUACUCUGAACAAAUUAGAUCGCUUAAAGAAGGCCUAUGCUCGAAUACAUUAGCAUGGAAUAAUAGAAUAGGACGUGUGGUUCUAUUUUGUUGGUUUCUAGGACCGCCGUAAUGAUUAAUAGGGACAGUCGGGGGCAUCAGU